RNAcentral lists this ribosomal RNA (403 nucleotides) under uncultured bacterium. RNAcentral describes it as "bacterial SSU rRNA". It matches the Rfam family "Bacterial small subunit ribosomal RNA", at positions 362 to 758 of the family's 1533-position model. The record is from RNAcentral.
UUUUGGACAAUGGGCGCAAGCCUGAUCCAGCCAUGCCGCGUGUAUGAAGAAGGCCUUCGGGUUGUAAAGUACUUUUGUCAGGGAAGAAAAGCCAACGGAUAAUACCUGUUGGUCAUGACGGUACCUGAAGAAUAAGCACCGGCUAACUACGUGCCAGCAGCCGCGGUAAUACGUAGGGUGCGAGCGUUAAUCGGAAUUACUGGGCGUAAAGCGAGCGCAGACGGUUAUUUAAGCAAGAUGUGAAAGCCCCGGGCUCAACCUGGGAACUGCGUUUUGAACUGGGUAACUAGAGUGUGUCAGAGGGGGGUAGAAUUCCACGUGUAGCAGUGAAAUGCGUAGAGAUGUGGAGGAAUACCGAUGGCGAAGGCAGCCCCCUGGGAUAACACUGACGUCAUGCUCGAGA